Molecule: ribosomal RNA, 18 nt
Filed under: Sphaerellopsis filum
Lineage: Eukaryota; Fungi; Ascomycota; Dothideomycetes; Pleosporales; Leptosphaeriaceae
Description: partial 18S ribosomal RNA
Source: RNAcentral
AAGGAUCAUUACCCUUCU